RNAcentral lists this ribosomal RNA (465 nucleotides) under Vreelandella stevensii. Its description in RNAcentral is "partial 16S ribosomal RNA". It matches the Rfam family "Bacterial small subunit ribosomal RNA", at positions 338 to 795 of the family's 1533-position model. Lineage: Bacteria; Pseudomonadati; Pseudomonadota; Gammaproteobacteria; Oceanospirillales; Halomonadaceae. The record is from RNAcentral.
CCUACGGGAGGCAGCAGUGGGGAAUAUUGGACAAUGGGGGGAACCCUGAUCCAGCCAUGCCGCGUGUGUGAAGAAGGCCCUCGGGUUGUAAAGCACUUUCAGUGAGGAAGAACGCCUGGUGGUUAAUACCCAUCAGGAAAGACAUCACUCACAGAAGAAGCACCGGCUAACUCCGUGCCAGCAGCCGCGGUAAUACGGAGGGUGCGAGCGUUAAUCGGAAUUACUGGGCGUAAAGCGCGCGUAGGUGGCUUUAUAAGCCGGUUGUGAAAGCCCCGGGCUCAACCUGGGAACGGCAUCCGGAACUGUCAAGCUAGAGUGCAGGAGAGGAAGGUAGAAUUCCCGGUGUAGCGGUGAAAUGCGUAGAGAUCGGGAGGAAUACCAGUGGCGAAGGCGGCCUUCUGGACUGACACUGACACUGAGGUGCGAAAGCGUGGGUAGCAAACAGGAUUAGAUACCCUUGUAGUC